AGCAUAGCGAUUUGGGAUAAGUCCCUUGGAAGAGGGCAGCAUGGAGGGUGAUACUCCCGUCUCUGCUCAGGUUGUCUGUGUGUACGAUACGCUUUCUUUGAGUCGAGUUGUUUGGGAAUACAGCUCAAAGCAGGUGGUAAAUUCCAUCUAAAGCUAAUAUUGGUGCGAGACCGAUAGCGAACAAGUACCGUGAGGGAAAGAUGAAAAGAACUUUGAAAAGAGAGUUAAAGAGUACCUGAAACUGUUGAAAGGGAACCGUAUCGUUUCUAGUGUGUAUCCUAUGCAUAUUUCAUUGGCGGUUGUAAAAUUGCUGGUGCCCUGUGUAUGGGUGUGACGUCAGAGUCAGUUUGAAUUGCGGGAGAUGGGUAGUGAGGAGGUGCGUCACUUUUUGUGAAAGUUACAGCUCGCUAUCUAGUAGCCGUGGUUGAGACUGAGGUGCC
RNAcentral lists this ribosomal RNA (440 nucleotides) under uncultured Oomycota. RNAcentral's name for it is "LSU rRNA". It matches the Rfam family "Eukaryotic large subunit ribosomal RNA", at positions 165 to 604 of the family's 3401-position model. The record is from RNAcentral. Lineage: Eukaryota; Oomycota.